RNAcentral lists this unclassified non-coding RNA (55 nucleotides) under Sulfolobus acidocaldarius DSM 639. RNAcentral's name for it is "noncoding RNA Sac-sR13". Lineage: Archaea; Thermoproteati; Thermoproteota; Thermoprotei; Sulfolobales; Sulfolobaceae. The record is from RNAcentral.
AGGAUGAUGUACUUUCACCCUCACUGAAAGGUGAGGAUGAGUCCGACUACUGACG